GAUGAACGCUGGCGGCGUGCUUAACACAUGCAAGUCGAACGAAGCACUUUAUUUGAUUUCCUUCGGGACUGAUUAUUUUGUGACUGAGUGGCGGACGGGUGAGUAACGCGUGGGUAACCUGCCUUGUACAGGGGGAUAACAGUUGGAAACGGCUGCUAAUACCGCAUAAGCGCACAGCAUCGCAUGAUGCAGGGUGAAAAACUCCGGUGGUAUAAGAUGGACCCGCGUUGGAUGAGCUAGUUGGUGAGGUAACGGCCCACCAAGGCGACGAUCCAUAGCCGGCCUGAGAGGGUGACCGGCCACAUUGGGACUGAGACACGGCCCAAACUCCUACGGGAGGCAGCAGUGGGGAAUAUUGCACAAUGGGCGAAAGCCUGAUGCAGCGACGCCGCGUGAGCGAAGAAGUAUUUCGGUAUGUAAAGCUCUAUCAGCAGGGAAGAUAAUGACGGUACCUGAUUAAGAAGCACCGGCUAAAUACGUG
Molecule: ribosomal RNA, 481 nt
Filed under: uncultured bacterium
Lineage: Bacteria
Description: partial 16S ribosomal RNA
Rfam family: Bacterial small subunit ribosomal RNA
Source: RNAcentral